CCCCCAGGUGGAGUUCCAUCUGUGUAUCCGUGUGGGGGGCACCGUCAGUUCCUGCAGCCAUGGCCAGGAGAGCGCAUGGGUCCUGGAUGGGCUGCGGCUGCGGGUUCAGAGCCGACACUUCAUGCGGGAUCCGCUGCCCCCCCCCUGCACCCUCCUUCACCCCAUAGCUGCCCCCGCCGUGGGGCUGCGGCUGCCCCAUAGCGCGGCCGCUAUGGGGCUGGGGGGGGAGCUGAGCGCCGUCCCCAUUGCGGCUCUAUGUCCUUGUCUGAGACCCCUCCCCAACCUGCCCACCCACCUCAGCUCCGUCGCCAUAUCCCAGCACCCAUGGGGGCUA
Molecule: non-coding RNA, 334 nt
Organism: Coturnix japonica (Japanese quail)
Lineage: Eukaryota; Metazoa; Chordata; Aves; Galliformes; Phasianidae
Source: RefSeq, a predicted model, not a curated record